GAGAUUCCCCCAGUAGCGGCGAGCGAACGGGGAGCAGCCCAGAGCCUGAAUCAGUGUGUGUGUUAGUGGAAGCGUCUGGAAAGGCGCGCGAUACAGGGUGACAGCCCCGUACACAAAAAUGCACAUGCUGUGAGCUCGAUGAGUAGGGCGGGACACGUGGUAUCCUGUCUGAAUAUGGGGGGACCAUCCUCCAAGGCUAAAUACUCCUGACUGACCGAUAGUGAACCAGUACCGUGAGGGAAAGGCGAAAAGAA
RNAcentral lists this ribosomal RNA (254 nucleotides) under Escherichia coli. RNAcentral's name for it is "partial 23S ribosomal RNA". It matches the Rfam family "Bacterial large subunit ribosomal RNA", at positions 231 to 523 of the family's 2925-position model. The record is from RNAcentral. Lineage: Bacteria; Pseudomonadati; Pseudomonadota; Gammaproteobacteria; Enterobacterales; Enterobacteriaceae.